UGGGGAAUAUUGCACAAUGGGGGAAACCCUGAUGCAGCGACGCCGCGUGAACGAAGAAGGUAUUCGUAUCGUAAAGUUCUGUCCUAUGGGAAGAUAAUGACAGUACCAUAGAAGAAAGCUCCGGCUAAAUACGUGCCAGCAGCCGCGGUAAUACGUAUGGAGCGAGCGUUGUCCGGAAUUAUUGGGCGUAAAGGGUACGCAGGCGGUUUAAUAAGUCGAAUGUUAAAGAUCGGGGCUCAACCCCGCAAAGCAUUGGAAACUGAUAAACUUGAGUAGUGGAGAGGAAAGUGGAAUUCCUAGUGUAGUGGUGAAAUACGUAGAUAUUAGGAGGAAUACCAGUAGCGAAGGCGACUUUCUGGACACAAACUGACGCUGAGGUACGAAAGCGUGGGGAGCAGACAGG
RNAcentral lists this ribosomal RNA (403 nucleotides) under bacterium. RNAcentral's name for it is "partial 16S ribosomal RNA". It matches the Rfam family "Bacterial small subunit ribosomal RNA", at positions 355 to 776 of the family's 1533-position model. The record is from RNAcentral.